UUGAAAAGAACUUUGAAGAGAGAGUUCAAGAGUACGUGAAACCGUUCAGGGGUAAACCUGAGAAACCCAAAAGAUCGAAUGGGGAGAUUCACCGUAAGCGGGGCAGGCUCUGCGCGKGUUCGCGAUGUUGCGGUUUCGGUCGCGACACGCGUCUCGCGCUCGACGUUCGGCCUCGCCGGCGUGCACUUCUCCCCUAGUAGGACGUCGCGACCCGUUGGGUGUCGGUCUACGGCACGGGUGGAGGUCCGCGGAUGUCAGCACCUCGCGGUGCUCGUCCCGAGCCACCCGAGCGCCUGAUCGGCUGCUCGACGGUACGCAAAGCACGGUAUAGGGCCGCAGUCGUUCGCGAGUGCGUCCAGCCCGUCGAAAGCGGGGUCAGUGCAUAACCCGAUGGUAACGGACUUCGCGCCGUCCUCGGGCCUGACUCGCUGUUGGUCGACGGUGUUCUCGGACUGGCCAAGAAAUGUAUAUCGGUCGGCGACGCUAUUGCUUUGGGUACUUUCAGGACCCGUCUUGAAACACGGACCAAGGAGUCUAACAUGUGCGCGAGUCAUUGGGACUUGAAAAGCCUAAAGGCGCAAUGAAAGUGAAGGUGGACCUCGCGUCAACCGAGGGAGGAUGGGUCGCGUCGAGGCGCGAUCUCGCACUCCCGGGGCGUCUCGCUCUCAUUGCGAGAUGAGGCGCACCCAGAGCGUACACGUUGGGACCCGAAAGAUGGUGAACUAUGCCUGGUCAGGAUGAAGUCAGGGGAAACCCUGAUGGAGGUCCGUAGCGAUUCUGACGUGCAAAUCGAUCGUCGGAACUGGGUAUAGGGGCGAAAGACUACUCGAACCAUCUAGUAGCUGGUUCCCUCCGAAGUUUCCCUCAGGAUAGCUGGCACUCGCUAGAAGCGAGUUUCAUCCGGUAA
Molecule: ribosomal RNA, 907 nt
Filed under: Xiphydria prolongata
Lineage: Eukaryota; Metazoa; Arthropoda; Insecta; Hymenoptera; Xiphydriidae
Description: eukaryotic LSU rRNA
Rfam family: Eukaryotic large subunit ribosomal RNA
Source: RNAcentral